GACGAACGCUGGCGGCGUGCCUAAUACAUGCAAGUAGAACGCACAGUUUAUACCGUAGCUUGCUACACCAUAAACUGUGAGUUGCGAACGGGUGAGUAACGCGUAGGUAACCUGCCUGGUAGCGGGGGAUAACUAUUGGAAACGAUAGCUAAUACCGCAUAAUAUUGAUUAUUGCAUGAUAAUUGAUUGAAAGAUGCUAUUGCAUCACUACCAGAUGGACCUGCGUUGUAUUAGCUAGUAGGUGAGGUAACGGCUCACCUAGGCGACGAUACAUGGCCGACCUGAGAGGGUGAUCGGCCACACUGGGACUGAGACACGGCCCAGACUCCUACGGGAGGCAGCAGUAGGGAAUCUUCGGCAAUGGACGAAAGUCUGACCGAGCAACGCCGCGUGAGUGAAGAAGGUUUUCGGAUCGUAAAGCUCUGUUGUAAGAGAAGAACGGGUGUGAGAGUGGAAAGUUCACACUGUGACGGUAUCUUACCAGAAAGGGACGGCUAACUACGUGCCAGCAGCCGCGGUAAUACGUAGGUCCCGAGCGUUGUCCGGAUUUAUUGGGCGUAAAGCGAGCGCAGGCGGUUAGAUAAGUCUGAAGUUAAAGGCUGUGGCUUAACCAUAGUACGCUUUGGAAACUGUUUAACUUGAGUGCAGAAGGGGAGAGUGGAAUUCCAUGUGUAGCGGUGAAAUGCGUAGAUAUAUGGAGGAACACCGGUGGCGAAAGCGGCUCUCUGGUCUGUAACUGACGCUGAGGCUCGAAAGCGUGGGGAGCGAACAGG
RNAcentral lists this ribosomal RNA (773 nucleotides) under uncultured Streptococcus sp. Its description in RNAcentral is "bacterial SSU rRNA". It matches the Rfam family "Bacterial small subunit ribosomal RNA", at positions 28 to 776 of the family's 1533-position model. Lineage: Bacteria; Bacillati; Bacillota; Bacilli; Lactobacillales; Streptococcaceae. The record is from RNAcentral.